UAUUCCUUAAGUAGACAAAGAU
Molecule: microRNA, 22 nt
Filed under: Taeniopygia guttata (zebra finch)
Lineage: Eukaryota; Metazoa; Chordata; Aves; Passeriformes; Estrildidae
Description: Tgu-Mir-9619_5p (mature (co-guide))
Source: RNAcentral